RNAcentral lists this ribosomal RNA (253 nucleotides) under uncultured bacterium. RNAcentral's name for it is "partial 16S ribosomal RNA". It matches the Rfam family "Bacterial small subunit ribosomal RNA", at positions 524 to 776 of the family's 1533-position model. The record is from RNAcentral.
UACGUAGGGGGCAAGCGUUAUCCGGAUUUACUGGGUGUAAAGGGAGCGUAGACGGUUUGGCAAGUCAGAUGUGAAAGCCCAGGGCUCAACCCUGGGACUGCAUUUGAAACUGUUAAACUAGAGUGCAGGAGAGGUAAGUGGAAUUCCUAGUGUAGCGGUGAAAUGCGUAGAUAUUAGGAGGAACACCAGUGGCGAAGGCGACUUACUGGACUGUAACUGACGUUGAGGCUCGAAAGCGUGGGGAGCAAACAGG